AUCCAUUCCUUUUGCUCCAAGCAUAUGCUAUCCAUUCCAUGCCCAAAAAUGCUCCAAAAUGCUCCAAAAUGCACUUCUUUGCCACAUUAACCCUUUGGACCUACAAACACACGAAAAUGGCUUAAAAUACUAAAAUAACUGCGAACUAACAACAUAAAUGCCAAGAAACAAGCUAACUAAGUCGCAUAAAUAUGCUCCUAUCAAUAACUCAUAUAUUUUAUACAUUUAUACCAUCCAUUCCUAGUCUCUUUGUGAUAUUUUUGAGUUAAACUGGUUGCGUUUUACUCUGUUUUGUAUUAAUGUGCAGUUAAUUGUAUUUUAGAGCCAUUUGAGGGUAAAUAAGGUAAAAUGGUGUUGAAAGUGAAGAAUUGAAUAAGGAUUCUGAUGUAGAGAGAGAUUCAAAGUGUACAAUUGAAUAUGGAGAUGAAUAUGGCCCUUUUAAGAAACCAAUAAUAGCAAAAAACGUGGGAAUUAAAUGCCCAAUUACUGGAAUGUAUUGGCAAUUUGUAACAGCCUCUUUAACAUUAUAAAACAGAGUGUUUCAGCCACUUUUACUCCAGCUUCCCCUUGGGGUCACCCAGAGCUCUUUCUCUUUUCUUUCUUUAGCCUUUCUUCCCGAAACAAAACCAUAUUUCUCAUCACCUGUUCUUGGAGAAGUUCAACAUCAGAAUUGCUUCAAGGGCGUUUCUUCUAUGAAAUUUAAUUUCACUCAUAUUGAUCUUGAAAUUUAUAUAUUCUGUAAUCAUGUUGUGUAAUUAAAUUCAUAUCUGAGAAUUUUGAUGUAGCCUUGCAAACCUAAUAUAUGUUAUUAAUUUAAAGUAUUGAAAUUACCAAUUUGUGUUCUUGUUUCAUUCACUGGUUUUAUAGUAUAAUUUGUUUGUUAAUCUUAAUGUUUGAUCACCAUUAGGGUUUCUUAUGAAUUAUUUGAUCAAGGUUAUAGUACACAUCAUGCUUAAUCUUGGUGGACAUGUGAAUGAAUGAAGAAACUGCUAUGCAUACAUCCUGCCAUGUGAUUUCUUUGGUUCUUCGAAGUUUUCUUGUUCUUAAUGGAUUCUUAUUUGGUAAUCUCUAAGUUGAACAUCAUAACUAGGUUGCAGAUUAGGAGUACUUGAUCACAACCACACAUCAAAUGGAUGAUCAUAAAUAAGUAAAACGAACCCUAGUUGCAGAUUCAAGAUGAAUACGUUUUGACUUAAUUUUCAUUAAAUUGGUUUGUAAUGGUGAAAUUGAUAUUCCUAGUUCCAUUUCCAUCGUUUCUGAAUCAAUCUAUCAUUCAUAUAUAUCUUGUCUUGCAUUUUAAGUUACUUUAGCUUUCAAAACAAAAAUCUAAAUUCAGUUUUCAUUUGCCUUUUCUUUAGGGUUCACAUAAAGGGAAAUAAAAUUUUCACUAUUUUAGAAGGAUUUUAACUUUAAAUCCACAAGGAAAAGGCUAAGUAAAAUCAGAAAUCAAGAGAGAAAGGGAAAGGAAAGUUGAGGCAAGGACAAAGGGAAAGGGAAAAGGGAAAAAGGGAAAGAGGAAAGGGGAAGUUGCGGCAAGGGAUGAAAAGGAAAGGGAAAGAUGUAAUUAAGUGUCCUAACAUAUUUAGGACACUCCUUUGUAGCUGGAACCUUGAUAAAUUAGGAUUAGGAAAGGUCAAAACCAAAGUAGGAAACCUUGGCUAACAUUCCUUCUUUGAGUAGGAAUCCUCAUUUCUCUAGGAAUCCUCAUUCUUCUAGGAAUCCUUCUUCAAUUAGAAAUCCUAGCAUCCUUAGGUCUUCAAUUUCGUCCAUACCCUUUGCUCCAAGCCUAUGCUAUCCAUUCCAUGCCCAAAACUGCUCCAAAAGGCUCUAAAAUGCACUUAUUUGCCACAUUAACCCUUUGGACCUACAAACACACGAAAAUAGCUUAAAAUACUAAAAAAACUAAGAACCAACAACAUAAAUGCAAGAAAACAAGCUAACUAGGUCGCAUAACUAUGCUCCUAUCAAGAUUGACUCCGAAAUGAAAAGACUUAUUUUAUUACUAUCGAGGGGAUAUUAAUCACAUAACAGAGUGCGGAUUACACUAAUAAACUUAGCACUAGUGAUAACUAGGCAUUCUUUGAGUAUGGAGAUGGUGACAAAUCUUUGGAGCAUGUCCUUUGGAAAAUUUGAUGACCAAAAAUUGAUGUAGUGAUGUCUAAAAAUGCUGCAAGGUUUUCUUCUUGCGAAAAUUUAAGCGUUCUUGUACCCUGUGGUGCACAGACCAGCCCUGCCCAUAGUCCAUCAUUGUCUUCUGGUAAUGGAGAUACAAUAACUACGGGAGUUAUAUAUACUUUAGCCCAACAUGUAUUAGACUGCAAUGUUCGAGAUCUCGCAUUGCCCGAAAGUGUAUGUAGACAUCAAAAUUUCGUUGAAAUAAAUGUUCACCAACACAUUAAAUUUUCAAUGUGCCAGGGCAUACAUGACAUGUGACUCAACACUGAUAGGAGCAUAUUUAUGCGACUUUGUUGUCUUAUUUCUUUGCAUUUACUUAGUUAAUUUCCAUUUAUUUUGGUAAUUUAUGUUAUUUUCGUAUUAUUUAAGUCCAGUUGGUAAAUAUGACAAUAAAUAGCUAAAUGGAGCAAUUUGGAUUAGUUUUGGACUUGGAUUGGAUAGCAUGCAUGGAUAGCAUAUGGCUGAACGUUUUUGGUGUUUAAAUGGUGCUAAACAUGGGCAAAAAUCUGGAGAAAUUAAAGUUGAGACUUGGAAGGCAAGCAAUAACACUAGAAAGAGGAAUCCUAAUUGGAAAGGAACAUUAUCUUAUCUUAUCUUAUCUUAUCCAAUAUUAUCUUAUCUUAUCUCCAGCUGCAAGGAGGAAUCCUUAUCACAUUUCAACACUUCCUAUUUGAUUCUAGGAGUCCUUAAAUAAUUCAAACAACCUAAUAUUUUUCCUCCUGGGAUUCAGUUGUGCCUUUACCCUAUAUACACACAUUAUUGCAGCAAAUAAGAAGAGGGGGGGGGGGAAGUGUGCUGUAACCUGCAAUCAUCCAUUGAAGUCGCUGGAGUUUUCUAGGUUCUUUCUCUCUUUAUUUUAAGUUUCAAUGUUUAUUUUAGAUUUUUUUUCAAUUAUGAUGAACAUGUGUAACUAAGUUUCUUUUUAGCAAGAGGUGAAUUCAAAAUUGUUGACCCUAAUCUUACCAAGACAUAAAGGUAUUCAAUCCAGAAUGGGCACAUAAAUUGUUCAGGAAGUGAAUAAAGAAGAAAUAUACACAUUCAUUAGUCUUAGGCUUAACCCCAAAACGAUUCAAGACCUGAACUGAAAGAGACUCUCCAAAAAAAGCUUUCUGACUCGGCAAGUUUAUAUAAAUUGAUUACAUCCAGUUAUUGUUUCAUAAAACAUGAAUGUGAUUUACUUAUCUGCUUUAUAGAAAACUUAUUCUUGUAUGUUUAUUAAGGGUGCACACUUAGUUUGCAUGUAGGGAUUUGAUGCUAGAAUAUAAGGGAAUUUCACCUAAUCGUUAUGAACUUAUAUUUGCAAGUGGUAAAAGUUACUAGUCAUGAUUGAGUUACGUAAAUUCCUGGCAAGAGUAUCAUGUUUUCAUAGUUAUGAAUGCUUUGUCAAUGCUUAUGAUUUUCACAAAAUUUAAUGAUCUUUGAGAUGUAUCUCUAUCAUGCUUUUCAUAGUUAGGAAACUUGAGAAGAAUAAUUUGGUUGCAUCGUUGAGUCCAAUUCAAUAAACCUAGGAAAAUCUGAGAGUUCAUUAGUGAUGUUCACAAUUAAUUUGGGGCAUUGUCAUUCAUGGUUUAUAGGAAGAAUAACUAGAAAUCGAUUUGUAUGCAUAUGAUUCAUGUGUGGAGAAAAAUACUUUAACUAUCCUUUCAUCCAUAUUUCACUCACAACUUAAUUUACUUGUUGCCUUUACUUAAUGUAUGCCCACAAAGCCACUCAUUUGAUGUAAUAGCUUUUGGAAUACUUAAUGUAUUAAACUAUUAAAUGUUUAAUGAAGGGCAAAGCUUAUUGUUA
This 3963-nucleotide long non-coding RNA is filed under the name Malus domestica (apple). RNAcentral describes it as "long non-coding RNA (MDOM_LNC017937)". The record is from RNAcentral. Lineage: Eukaryota; Viridiplantae; Streptophyta; Magnoliopsida; Rosales; Rosaceae.